Molecule: transfer RNA, 64 nt
Filed under: Ashinkailepas seepiophila
Lineage: Eukaryota; Metazoa; Arthropoda; Thecostraca; Neolepadidae
Also listed under: 1 other name
Description: tRNA-Phe
Source: RNAcentral
AUUAAAAUAGCUUAAUAAGAGUUUUGUAUUGAAGUUACAAAGGUGAUCCUAAGGUCUUUUAAUA